UACGUAGGCAGCAAGCGUUGUUCGGAGUUACUGGGCGUAAAGAGUAUGUAGGCGGUUGGGUAAGUUUGGUGUGAAAUCUCCCGGCUUAACUGGGAGGGUGCGCUAAAGACUGCCUGGCUCGAGUGUGGGAGAGGAAAGCGGAAUCCCUGGUGUAGCGGUGAAAUGCGUAGAUAUCAGGAGGAACACCUGCGGUGUAGACGGCUUUCUGGACCAUAACUGACGCUGAGAUACGAAAGCGUGGGUAGCAAACAGG
Molecule: ribosomal RNA, 253 nt
Filed under: uncultured bacterium
Lineage: Bacteria
Description: partial 16S ribosomal RNA
Rfam family: Bacterial small subunit ribosomal RNA
Source: RNAcentral